ACAUAAAAUAAAAAAUAUUUUUACAAAAGAUUAGACAACCCAGUAUACUGGGUGGUACAUGCUUGUAAUCCCAGGAGGCAGAAGCAGGAGGAUUACAAACUGAAAGCCAACUUGGACUACUUAGCAAGUUCCAAGCCUGCCUGGAAUAUAUAGCAAGACCCUGUUUCAAAAGAAGUACAGGGCUCGCCAUCCUCUUUCCGCCAUCUUGGCGCCGGUGGAGGCCUGCUGGGAACAGGACUUCUAAAAGGCAAAUAUGUCUGGAAGGCUAUGGUGCAAGGUCACUUUUGCUGGCUACAAGCGAGGUCUUUGGAAUCAACGAGAGCAUACAGCUCUUCUUAAAAUUGAAGGUGUUUAUGCCUGAGAUGAAACUGAAUUCUACUUAGGCAAGAGGUGCACUUAUGUGUAUAAAGCAAAAAACAACACAGUAACUCCUGGUGGCAAAUCAAACAAAACCAGAGUAAUCUGGGGAAAGGCCACCCGGCCCAUGGAAACAGUGGCAUGGUUCAUGCCAAAUUCCGAAGCAAUCUUCCUGCAAAGGCCAUUGGACACAGAAUCCAAGUGAUGCUGUACCCCUCACCGAUUUAAACUAAUGGAACAUAAAUAAAGAAAAGUGGAUUUGUUAAAAAAAAAAAAAAAGAAGUGGUGGAGGAGGGGGAGAAGGAGGUAGAGGAGGUGUUAUUUAAACACAUUUGAAGGAGUGGAAAGAAUAAAUGGACACUGAAGCUCAGUAGAGAAUGAUGGUUACCUAAAGCCCAGGUUCUAAAAGGAAAGGAGGGCAUGGAUGCAGAGCCCAGGUGCAUGUGGUUCAUUUACACAACAGUUUAGGUCAGCAGACAUUUAUUGCAAUCUAUAUGUUAAGUCUCUCCUAGGAGCUCCAUUCAGUCUGGGUGGGAAGCCAGCUGAGUAAGAAAUUAGUCUUCAGCAGAGGGUGUGGGGCACAUCUUGCUUGGACUCACAGCUAUUUAUGAUUGGGAGGUAGCAACUGAAAACUGAUGGGUGUCCAUGUCUGGCCACUUCUUUGUUCUUUAUCAAGAAGGGAACAUUUUAUUUUUCUAGUGUUGGAGACUGAACCCAGGGGCCACAUAUGCUAGGAAGUAAGAUGAGCUAACCUCCCAGCCUUGUGAAGUCCAGUAUUCAAGUUGCUUAUUGAUUAAGGUAGGAGUUGGGCAAGAAGCUUAAAGAAUAGCCAUAGAAGGACACAGAAAAGAAGAUGAAGGAGAAGGGAAUGGAAGAAAUGCCAACCAAAAGUACUAGGUGAAAGGGUUAGGGAAAGCCUGACUUGACAUAGCCAAGUCUAUAUCAGCACUCUGGAAGCUAAGGCUGCAUACAGAGACCCUGUCUCAAAGGAACAAGAGUUAGGGAGCAGACUGGAAACCAUGAGUGU
Molecule: RNA transcript, 1384 nt
Organism: Nannospalax galili (Upper Galilee mountains blind mole rat)
Lineage: Eukaryota; Metazoa; Chordata; Mammalia; Rodentia; Spalacidae
Gene name: 60S ribosomal protein L35a pseudogene
Exons: 1
Source: RefSeq, a predicted model, not a curated record